RNAcentral lists this transfer RNA (74 nucleotides) under Phycisphaerae bacterium. Its description in RNAcentral is "tRNA-Val". It matches the Rfam family "tRNA". Rfam says of the family: Transfer RNA (tRNA) molecules are approximately 80 nucleotides in length. Their secondary structure includes four short double-helical elements and three loops (D, anti-codon, and T loops). The record is from RNAcentral. Lineage: Bacteria; Pseudomonadati; Planctomycetota; Phycisphaerae. RNAcentral also lists the same sequence under 1 other name.
GGGCGUUUAGCUCAGUUGGUUAGAGCGUACGGAUCACACCCGUAAGGUCGAAGGUUCGAGUCCUUCAACGCCCA